Molecule: ribosomal RNA, 594 nt
Filed under: Enterobacteriaceae bacterium HGB0058
Lineage: Bacteria; Pseudomonadati; Pseudomonadota; Gammaproteobacteria; Enterobacterales; Enterobacteriaceae
Description: bacterial SSU rRNA
Rfam family: Bacterial small subunit ribosomal RNA
Source: RNAcentral
CAUAACGUCGCAAGACCAAAGAGGGGGACCUUCGGGCCUCUUGCCAUCGGAUGUGCCCAGAUGGGAUUAGCUAGUAGGUGGGGUAACGGCUCACCUAGGCGACGAUCCCUAGCUGGUCUGAGAGGAUGACCAGCCACACUGGAACUGAGACACGGUCCAGACUCCUACGGGAGGCAGCAGUGGGGAAUAUUGCACAAUGGGCGCAAGCCUGAUGCAGCCAUGCCGCGUGUAUGAAGAAGGCCUUCGGGUUGUAAAGUACUUUCAGCGGGGAGGAAGGGAGUAAAGUUAAUACCUUUACUCAUUGACGUUACCCGCAGAAGAAGCACCGGCUAACUCCGUGCCAGCAGCCGCGGUAAUACGGAGGGUGCAAGCGUUAAUCGGAAUUACUGGGCGUAAAGCGCACGCAGGCGGUUUGUUAAGUCAGAUGUGAAAUCCCCGGGCUCAACCUGGGAACUGCAUCUGAUACUGGCAAGCUUGAGUCUCGUAGAGGGGGGUAGAAUUCCAGGUGUAGCGGUGAAAUGCGUAGAGAUCUGGAGGAAUACCGGUGGCGAAGGCGGCCCCCUGGACGAAGACUGACGCUCAGGUGCGAAAGCG